GGAGUUAGCCGGUGCUUCUUCUGCGAGUAACGUCACAGAUGUAAGGUAUUAACUUACACCCUUUCCUCCUCGCUGAAAGUGCUUUACAACCCGAAGGCCUUCUUCACACACGCGGCAUGGCUGCAUCAGGGUUUCCCCCAUUGUGCAAUAUUCCCCACUGCUGCCUCCCGUAGGAGUCUGGGCCGUGUCUCAGUCCCAGUGUGGCUGAUCAUCCUCUCAGACCAGCUAGGGAUCGUCGCCUAGGUGAGCCUUUACCUCACCUACUAGCUAAUCCCACCUGGGCUUAUCCAUCAGCGCAAGGCCCGAAGGUCCCCUGCUUUCCCCCGUAGGGCGUAUGCGGUAUUAGCAGUCGUUUCCAACUGUUAUCCCCCACAAAUGGGCAAAUUCCCAGGCAUUACUCACCCGUCCGCCGCUCGUCAUCUUCAAAAGCAAGCUUUUGAAAUGUUACCGCUCGACUUGCAUGUGUUAGGCCUGCCGCCAGCGUUCAAUCUGAGCCAGGAUCAAAACUCUGA
This 512-nucleotide ribosomal RNA is filed under the name uncultured bacterium. Its description in RNAcentral is "partial 16S ribosomal RNA". The record is from RNAcentral.